CGUGGAGACAGGUGGUGCAUGGCUGUCGUCAGCUCGUGUCGUGAGAUGUUGGGUUAAGUCCCGCAACGAGCGCAACCCUUGUCCUUGGUUGCCAGCAUUAAGUUGGGCACUUUAAGGAGACUGCCGGUGUCAAACCGGAGGAAGGUGGGGAUGACGUCAAGUCCUCAUGGCCCUUAUGUCCAGGGCUACACACGUGCUACAAUGGUCGAUACAAAGGGUUGCGAAACCGCGAGGUGGAGCUAAUCUCAAAAAGUCGGCCUCAGUUCGGAUUGGAGUCUGCAUCUCGACUCCAUGAAGUCGGAAUCGCUAGUAAUCGUGGAUCAGCAUGCCACGGUGAAUACGUUCCCGGGCCUUGUACACACCGCCCGUCACACCACGAAAGUCUGCUGUACUCGAAGUCGCUGAG
Molecule: ribosomal RNA, 406 nt
Filed under: uncultured Methylomirabilota bacterium
Lineage: Bacteria; Methylomirabilota (SeqCode)
Description: bacterial SSU rRNA
Rfam family: Bacterial small subunit ribosomal RNA
Source: RNAcentral